GACGAACGCUGGCGGCGUGCUUAACACAUGCAAGUCGAACGGUAAGGCCCUUCGGGGUACACGAGUGGCGAACGGGUGAGUAACACGUGGGUGAUCUGCCCUGCACUUCGGGAUAAGCCUGGGAAACUGGGUCUAAUACCGGAUAGGACCACUGCCUGCAUGGGUGGUGGUGGAAAGCUUUUGCGGUGUGGGAUGGGCCCGCGGCCUAUCAGGUUGUUGGUGGGGUGAUGGCCUACCAAGGCGACAACGGGUAGCCGGCCUGAGAGGGUGACCGGCCACACUGGGACUGAGAUACGGCCCAGACUCCUACGGGAGGCAGCAGUGGGGAAUAUUGCACAAUGGGCGCAAGCCUGAUGCAGCGACGCCGCGUGAGGGAUGACGGCCUUCGGGUUGUAAACCUCUUUCAGCACAGACGAAGCGCAAGUGACGGUAUGUGCAGAAGAAGGACCGGCCAACUACGUGCCAGCCGCCGCAGUAA
RNAcentral lists this ribosomal RNA (478 nucleotides) under uncultured bacterium. Its description in RNAcentral is "partial 16S ribosomal RNA". It matches the Rfam family "Bacterial small subunit ribosomal RNA", at positions 28 to 523 of the family's 1533-position model. The record is from RNAcentral.